This is a long non-coding RNA of Spea bombifrons (plains spadefoot toad), 757 nucleotides long. RefSeq lists it as uncharacterized. Lineage: Eukaryota; Metazoa; Chordata; Amphibia; Anura; Pelobatidae. The transcript is spliced from 3 exons. The record is from RefSeq and is a predicted model, not a curated record.
UCAAGGUCAUUUCUGUUGUAUUGCGUCACCAAAGUGCGCGGCGUACUCGGACCCAGGGUUGUAACUUCCCCUAUCUGAUUAUUUCAUCCAUAACCUGUUAUUCCUUCAUGAUUCCUUCUAAUGAUUUACUAAACCAGAUGACGCUUCACAAACCAUUUGUCCAAGUGUAACCCGUCCUUAGUGGGGGUCAAGGGCCAAUCGCAACUUUCUUUCUCCAGAUUAGUUUCUUGUAUAACAUUAUCCCAUAAAAUCAGGCAAAGGAAGAAGUCGGUAGGGUAAAAAGUGACAUUUGCCAUCAGAUGUACAGGUCUUCUGCUCUUGGGUCACCUAGCCUAUAUGGUAGGACCACCAUUGGUUCAAUUCUCCGGCACCUUGGACCCCCAGCCAGGUCACUAUAUCCAAUGUCUACUAUCUGAAAAGUGCAAGGAUAGAAAACGUUUGGUUUAUGAAACAUGGGCUGGAGGAGACCACAGGAAUGGAUUUAGUCUUUCCAAGUGACCCUUUCUUUGAUCUUUCUGACCAAACUGUAGGAAAAUCUUACAAUGUAUAGUUAGUGCAGAAAGCUCUUAGAAUGUUGCUCUAGAACCUUUCUCUGAAUAGACUGCAUGUCAUCUGCUGGCGCAGGCACUGCCAGAAACCACCCGAAAAUCACGCGUAAAGGCGACCGACUGUCACAAGGUACCCCAGGCUCCGUGUACCCUUUCACAUUUCUCAUCAGGUUUCCAGAAUUACCCAGAAGAUCCUCGCCAAGAGUUCC